UGCGACCCAGGUCAGGUGGGGCUACCGCUGAGUUUAAGCAUAUCAAUAAGCGGAGGAAAAAAACUUACAAGGAUUCCCUUAGUAACGGCGGCGAACGGGAAGAGCCCGGCUUGAGAAUCGGGUGGCAAAGCCAUCAAUUAUGUCUGUAAAGUGACCUCAGGGCGGACGGACCAGGUCCCCUGGAAGAGCGCCGAGAGAGGUGAAACCCGUCGUGUUGGACCCUGUCAACCACGAGCCUUGUCGGCGAGUCGGGUUGUUUGGGAAUGCAGCCAAAUCGGGCGUAAAUUCCGUCAAAGGCUAAAUCUGAGGCGAAGACCGAUAGCAAACAAAUACCGAGGAAAGAUGAAAAGGACUUUGAAAAGAGAGUCAAAGUGCUUGAAAUUGUCGGGAGGAAGCGAAUGGGGCGGCGAUGCGCCUCGAUCGCAUGGAACGGUCAAGGUCGGUCCGAUCGACUUCGGCGUGGACCGGCGGAUUGAGGCGGCAUCCUAAGCCCGGUUGUUGAUAUUCCGGCGGAGAUGGUGUCUCCUCGAUCGUGGAGGCAGCAGCGCUGGCGUGCCGGCACCUGCGUGCUCAGGCGUCGGCUGCGGGCUCCCAUUCGACCGUCUUGAAACACGGACCAAGAGUCGACAUGUGUGCGAGUCAGCGGGUAAAUAAACCCAUGGCAAGGAAGCUGACUUGGCGGGAUCCCCGAUGGGUUGCACCGCCGACCUUGAUCUUUUGAGAGGGGUUGAGUGUGAGCAUGCUGUCGGGACCGAAAGAUGGUGAACUAUGCUGGCGAAGCGAGAAACUUCGGUGGAGGCCAGCGAUCUGGCGAUGCAAAUCGUUCGUCGACUUGGGUAUAGAGGCGAAAGACUAAUCGAACCAUCUAGUAGCUGGUUCCCUCAAGUUUCCCUCGGGAUAGGCUGGAGCUUCGAGGCGAGUUCUAUCAGGUAAAGCCAAUGAUUAGAGGCAUCGGUAUGAUGCCCUCGACCUAUUCUCAAACUUUAAAUAGGUAGGGCGGCGUGGCUGCCGUUGAGCCGCCAUGGAAUCAAACUCCAAGUGGGCCAUUUUGGUAGCGAAGCUGGCGAUCGGGAUGAACGGAAGUCGGGUUCUGAUUGCCUAACUAUCGCUAACCUAGAACCCACAAAGGGUGUUGGUCGAUUAAGACAGCGGGGCGGUGGUCAUGGAAGUCGAAAUCCGCUAAGGAGUGUGUAACAACUCACUGCCGAAUCAACUAGCCCGAAAAUGGAUGGCUGAAGCGUGACCUACCCGACCGUCGUGGCGAUUGCUGAGGCCUCGAUGAGUAGGAGAAGCGGCGGUCGCAAAACUGAGGCGUGAGCGGCGGGCGUCCGUCGGUCGCGGAUCUUGGUGGUAGUAGCAAAUAUUCAAAUGAGAACUUUGAAGGCGAAGAGGGAAAGGUUCCAUGUGAGCGGCACUUGCACAUGGGUUAGUCGAUCCUAAGAGGCGGGGAAGCCGUCCGAUAAGCGUGCACCGAGCUUGAAAGGAAUCGGGUUAAAAUUCUGAGCAGGGAUGUGGCGGCUGGCGCGUUAGGGAGUCGGAGAGCGUCGUCGAGGCCUCGGGAAGAGUUAUCUUUUACGUUUAACAGCCUGCCCACCACGAAGCGGUUUAGCGGAGGUAGGGUCAGCGGCUGGAACAGCACCGCGUGGUGUCAGUGCGCCCUCGGCGACCGAAAAUCCGGAGGACGAGUGCCUUCCACGCCCGGUCGUACUCAUAACGCAUCAGGUCUCCAAGGUGAACAGCCUCGGUCAAUGGAACAAUGUAGGCAAGGGAAGUCGGCAAAAUGGAUCCGUAACCUCGGGAAAAGGAUUGGCUCGAGGCUGGGGGGGGGUCCCUGUCCCGAACCCAUCGGCUGUUGGUGGACUGCUCGAGCUGCUCCAGGCGAGCGAGCGUGCCGUCGAGACGGGGGGAGCGGCUCUUCGGGGCCUUCCGGGCGUCGAACGUCGGCUGAAUGCGGACAAGGGAAUCCGAUGUUUAAUUAAAACAAAGCAUUGCGAUGGUCCCAGCGGAUGCUAGCAAUGUGAUUUCUGCCCGGUGCUCACGAAUGUCAAAGUGAAGAAAUUCAACCAGCGGGUAAGCGGCGGGAGUAACUAUGACUCUCUUAAGGUAGCCAAAUGCCUCGUCAUCUAAUUAGUGGCAUGAAUGGAUUAACGAGAUUCCCACUGUCCUGUCUACUAUCCAGUGAAACCACAGCCAAGGAGCGGGCUUGGCGAGAAUCAGCGGGAAAGAAGACCUGUUGAGCUUGACUCUAGUCCGACUUUGUGAAAUGACUUGAGAGGUGUAGGAUAAGUGGGGCGGAGGCGGCAAAAGUGAAAUACCACUACUUUUAGCGUUAUUUUACUUAUUCCGUGAAUCGGAGCGGGGCUCUCGCCCUCUUUUAGAACAAGGCGCUUCGUGCAUCGAUCGGCGGAAGACAUUGUCAGGUGGGGAGUUUGGCUGGGGGCACAUCUGUUAAAGAUAGCAGGUGUCUAAGAUGAGCUCAGCGAGCAGAAAUCUCGUGUGGAACAAAAGGGUAAAAGCUUCGUUUGAUUCGAUUUUCGAUGCAGUCUGAACCGUGGCGUGGCCUAUCGAUCCUUUAGAACUUGAAUUUGAAGCUAGAGGUGUCGAAAAAGUUACCACGGGAUAAGCGGCUUGUGGCAAUAGCGUUCAUAGCGGCGUUGCUUUUGAUCGCCGAUGUCGGCUCUUCCUAUCAUUGUGAAGCGAAUUCACCAAGUGUUGGAUUGUUCACCCACCAAUAGGGAGCGUGGUGGGUUUAGACCGUCGUGAGACAGGUUAGUUUUACCCUCGAUGAUAAGCGUCGCAAUAGUAAUUCAACCUGAAUGCGAGAGGAACCGUUGAUUCGCUGGUGGUCAUCGGCUUGGUUGAAAAGCCGAUGUGGCUACCGUCGUUGGAUUAUGGUGAGCGCCUCUAAGUCGAAUCGGGCUGGGCUAAUACCGAUGCAUGUGCUUUCGCCGUUCGUUUGCCGACCCUCGGUAGGGGCUUUGGCGCCCCAAAGGCGAUGUCGAAGCGAGUCGGUAUGGAUAAACCCGUCGGCCUUAAAGUACAAUUUCUCCCGGGCGGGUAGAAUCCUUUGC
RNAcentral lists this ribosomal RNA (3071 nucleotides) under Santalum album (white sandalwood). RNAcentral's name for it is "eukaryotic LSU rRNA". It matches the Rfam family "Eukaryotic large subunit ribosomal RNA". The record is from RNAcentral. Lineage: Eukaryota; Viridiplantae; Streptophyta; Magnoliopsida; Santalales; Santalaceae.